UGUCUGAACAGUUCAAGUAGGUGAACUGGUCUCAUUAUCUCAUUUCCAAUUCCCACAAUCAGAUUUCUGUUGGGUUCAAGGCACUGUUUUAUUGUUGUCCUCUGAGUUCAGCUCCCUUCCAGGGUCCCAUAGCCUUGGUGUAAUCCCCACAGCUGACUUCUUCUUCUGCCCACACCAAUCCAGAGUCUUGCCAUGUCUCCUUCUUUGCUGCACACUGACCUUCUUCCCCAAAGACGUUGGGCAGGAGAUUCCUGGUGGAGAUUCCUCAGGGAGUUUUUGGGUCCAUCUGUGUAGUACAAAAGGACUUUCCCAGAGCAGGGUAUUGCUGUGCACCUUUACUGUUAAAAUCUUUUGAGAGGGAACUAAUUUCCAUAGCAGGUUACAGCUAAUGGAAUGGAGGAAGGGCUCCCAUUUCUGUUCUCCAUCUCUCCUGCUGGCAGAACUGGCAGGAUGGAAACCCAUGGCUUGCUGGAGACAACUUGCUUCAUCCAUUUUGUGGUCCUAUUAAUAGUGUUUGCUGGUGUAUACAUCUUAUUUGUUCUCAGUUUUGCAUUUAUUUGAAAGAAAACCCAACCCUCUCUGUUGAAUUAGACCUGUAGGAUGCAACCCUAAGCCACAACACCCUGAUCAAAAGGGACAGGGCAGGAGGGAUGGUGGCAUCAAAAAGCAGCAGCUGGUUUAAUGCUCUCCUGCCAUCAACAAAACAAACUAGAUUUGGUGCUGAGCUUCACUUUUAACAGCCUGAUCCCCACCAGUACUGUGAAGAGAAGUGUGUGAUUAUUCUUUCCAUGCCUGUUCUCCUACAGGCACCCCUCCCACCCUGUUUGUGAGUGUUGGACUCAGAGGUUAAAUGGCAAAUCAUGUCUAAAAUUCUGCAAACUUUAUUUUAAUGCACAUUAAUUUCUUUGCAUUCAUGUGUUGUAAAUACAGAACUGCAGAAGGAUUUUAGAGAGACUGGGCAAUACAGGGGCAGGUGAAGUUUGGAGUGCGUGAUUGUGAAGUGCUGUGUGGAAGGAAAACCAGUCCUGACUUGACUAUAAAACUUGGGUUAGAACAGGUACUACCAUAGUCCAGCAGGAAAAGCAAAUGGUUGUCGGCAGGUAGGAAGGAAAGCAGGUGUAAAACAGAGAAUAGAACAGAGAACGGCUUUGCCAUUGUAUGGUCCAGUGGUCCAGUCCACGGCCAAGGUGUGGUCCAAUGCACUGUAUAAAUCCUGAAUGCUGUGUGUUGGUCUGACCCCUCAUCUCACACAGGGGACUCAAAAAAGAAGUAGUAGAACAAGAAAAGGUUCAGAGCAGGACAAAAUGUAGGAUCAGAGGCCUGGGAUGGAUUUUGUGUGGCAGGCUAGGACUCUUUACCCUGAAAACAUGAUUUGAGUGGGUAUCCACUACAGGUCUCCAGAACUGUGAGUGGCUGGAAAGGAGCAAAGAGGGAUUGAUUAUUUCCUGCCUUUUCCAAUAGAGAAAGUAAGGGGCAGCAGAUGAUAGUGGGUGAGGCUGAACACAAAAGAAAUUCACCCAGGGAUGUCCCUGACAAAGGACACUGUGGACGCAGAGCCUGGACAAAUGCUUGGAAGAGAAGUUCAUUGUGGGUUACUCAAUAGACAGCAACAGGCUCAGGAAAUCUAUUUAGUUAAAAAUAGACUGAAUAUUAAGGGAGAGUGACACAUGUGAUUUUCUUGUCAUUAUUCCUUAGCCAUCUGCUCAUAUCCAGUGUUGGAGACAGGAUGGCUGUCUGGAUGAACCUUUGCUCUGAACCAAACCAGUCAUUUUUACAUUCUUAAAUGUGAGAUUUAAUUACAAUGUGUCAUUUUUAGGAAGCCAUUUGUUACAAAACUCCACAUCCAUUUCCUCUGAAACACUAUUAAUUUUCCAAUUAUCUCAUUUUUUAAUGCUGGGAACUUCAAUCUUCCUUAGCUGUUCACCCUGCACAAGGACAUUUAUCCAGCAACAGAUCCUGUGGUUUCUCACAGGAGAAUAUUUAUCCCUCUUGGAAAAGGGAUAAUGGCCAGGAAAGAUGCUUGACCCUGAACAACUACUUCAGUUUGUGUUCCAGCUUUGGGAAAGCAAGGAGUGACCCAGCUUUGGCGACCAGGGGAAUUUACACAGAGGCAGCUUCCUUCCCCUGGCAUCUCCUUGGGGAUGUCACCUUGGGCUCUGCACAGUGGGGUGUGACCCAUGUUUGUAAUUGUAUCAAAAUUAUCCUGGCUAUGGCAGUGAUAGGUGUCAGAUUAAAAUGAAAGGACCUGAGGAAAUGCAUCUGUUUUGUAAUGGCUGUUCCACCACUGCUCUGACUCAUUUCUUUCUGCAUCCAGAUGACUUGAGACAUGUAUUUUAAUAACAGGAAUGUCAUUUGCAGCUCAUUGCUCAGGGCAGGAAUGUACAAUCCCAGCCCCCAGGAGUAUUUUGUGUCAAUUUUUUUUAAGUGAACAAUAGGAAAUAUCCCAGUUUAAUUUUGCAUUCAGUGUUGAUGUUAAGGCAUAAUGUUUUGAAGCCCCAUAGCUGGGUGUCAGUGCAGCCCAGCACCUCUCCCUAAGACAUCAAUCAGUGAGUUUACCUUGUGCUUGUGCUGGAUGAUUGCACUUGGACUUUGUUGAAGAAUGGCAGCAGUUCUUCUGUGACCCUGCCUGUAAGCCAGGAGUCCCCAGAGCUCAACGUCUCCUCCCUGGUGUGCCUGAAGAGGGGUCAUAUAUUGUUAGGACAAGGGGAAAUGGCCUCAGGUUGAGCCAAGGGAGGUUCACUUUGAUAUUAGGAAAAAUUUCUUCAUUGAAGGAGUGGCUAAGAAUUGGAACAGACUGCCCAGGGCAGUGGUGGAGUCACCAUCAGUGGUAGUGCUCUAAAAACAAGCAGACAUUGCACUUUGGCAUUGAGGUAUUUGGUCUAAGGUUGGACUUGAUGAUCUUGGAGGUCAAAUGAUUCUGUGAUUCUAUGCUAUGAUGGGACUCAGCUGUGGUGCUGCCAUGGGCUGUGCUGCCAGAUGGAAGAGCAGCGCUCACCCAGCUCCUCCGAGGAUGCUGUGCCUGUUCCCAGAGGCAGCUGCCCAACAUCACAGUUCUGUGCUGCAUUUCAUGCUGCCUGCACAGCCCACAGCCCUGGCUCUCCGUGCUGGGAGGGUGCAGCAGGAUGUGUGGUGGGUGAGAUCACAUGUGUAUCUCUGGGGACAGAUAUGUCUCUUAAGCCACAGCCCUCAUCCCUGCUCAGCCUUGCGGGGAGGGAGGGUGGCUGCACACCAGAUUUUGGUGCCCGACCUCCUGGCUGGAUGCUUUAACCACCAGCAGAGAAGAGGAGUAGAAAACCCAGCGUGGCUUGCAGCUGGGGCAGGGCUUGGAUGUUCCUUGCUGCAGGAAGGAUGGUGACAGUGGAAGACAGGAGAAGGCUGAUCCAUCCUUGAAGGAACCAAGGAAUAAAUUCAGGACCCUCAUGUGCCAGCACAUCGUGGCUGGAGUGACACUGUGAUGGACAGUGCUGUCACCUGUACCUCUCUCUCCAUGGAUCCAGGGAUCAUGCUUCUAGCAGAGAUGCACAGAAACAUUUUCCCACUAAUUUUCAAGCUGGAAAAGACACGCCACAACUUAUCAUGGCAUCCAUGAUCCUUGGCUGGCAUCAUCAUUGUGCUCUCAGCAUAAAAGUUGCAGAUAUCAGGGGACUGGGAUAAUUUUCUCAGCAUCUUUUUAUUAGUGUUUCUGUUUCUUGCUUUUUUAUGCUCUGGGAAAAAAAGCCUAUGAAAUGGGAGGUGAUUUUUUUCCAUCAGCUCUCAUAGUUGUGAAACCUGCUGAUAAAAUCUCUGCCAGGUUUACUGUCUAAAACACUCUAUUGAUGAUUAUAGAAAUUUCUAUUAUUUUUUCAUAAUUUCUACUGGCAAACUGCCCAAACCUGUGUUUCAACAGGCUAGACAACAUCUUUGGCUGCUGCCGUCCUCUCCUGUUUUCACUGCACACAGGUGAUAUGGAGUCUGGGUGGUUUUUGGUUUGGGUUUUUUUUCCAAAUUACAAAGGAAAAGUGUAGGAAUUGGGGAAUUCAGACAUUGAGCAAAUUCUUUGCUGUGGGUGGGCAGAGAGCUGAGGGAUAAAUCCCUAUCCUUUGUGCUUGUGAUAUUGGAGUUGGGCUAAGUGGCUGAAGUCUACCAAGACCAGAUGGUGCUGUCUCGGGGAGGGGUUCAGUGAAGGUCAGACUCUGUGAGGAUGUCCUGAGUGUGGAGAAGGAGGAAGAGCAGUGGACUAGGGAGGGUUAUCUCUGAGGCCACUCACCUUCCUGUGGGAGAGGAGGAUUGGUCUGUGCAGCCUGUAUUUGCUGCCCAGCCCCAGCCCUGGCUGCUUGGCCAUGGGAGAUCAUCUCCUGUGCUGGCUGGGAGGUGGGAGAGCUGAACAAGGUAUGGACAUUAAGGUCAGGACACCUCAAGUGUGGGAAAGGGAGUUGGGAUUUCAAAAGUAGUUGCAGGCAGAGGGAAAAUCCCUGUUUUUUAAAGAAUAAACCCUUGCCUGUGGGAAGCUUCAAAGGGGUUUUCUUACAGCUGUCCUGAAAAAUGUACAUAUCAUAAAAACCAUCUGCUGCUGGGGCAAAGCUCUGCUCAUUACUUGCAGGGUAGGAAAAUGAUGGAUUUAGUUCAUUGGAGCUCUCACAGAGGAUAAAUUGUGGUGUAUGGGAAUCAGAGAUGCUCAGAAUCCCCUCCCUGCAGCACCUGUGGUGGAAUAGGGGGUUGUGCUGGUGCCUCCACAGUCAUAAGCUGGGUGGCCUGAGAGCUUGGGUGAGUGUCACAGCCUGGGAAAGCUGGCUCAGCACGAUCCACGGCCGGCUCUAUCACUGCAUCAUUUAGGGGAAGCACCCACAGCUGGGCUUGAGACCAAGCACUCUGAAAAAAUCAGUAUUAGAGUGGAAAGUGGCAGCUCCCUGCGGCUGGGAGGGGAGGGAGGGGAAGGCCAGAGUGAUGCUGCUCUGCCACUGUGAUGCUUUGCACCCACAAACUCGUCCCAAGACUGUGUUAGCCCCAACACUGAGGACUCUAGACCACCUUCCCCUUGUCCUCCCUGUAGCUGGCACAGUGCUAGUGCCUGUGGUUGAGCAGAUGUGGGGCUGGGGGUGAAUCUGUGGGUGAGUGCUCGCUGCUUGUGCUCAGCAGGAUGCCGAAUUUCCAGCCCCAGCUCUGCCAUGGAGCCCUGGGCAGAAGCUGAGCCUUGGUACCAUCCCUGGGGAGACCUUCCCUGCUCCUGGCAUCACUGAGGGCUCUGCACACAAGGGUGUCACUGAUGGCUCAGCACAUGGGGAUAUCACUUGGGGCUCAGCACACAGGGGUGUCACUUGGGGCUCAGCACACCCAGGCAUCGCUCAGGGCAGUUCCUGCUGGCCAUGCCGUGCUGCUGGGCUCAGGGCCAGCCCCUGGGGGCCUCUGUUUGCUCUCAGAGGUGGUGUUGACUUUCAGGCUGUGCCAGGUGUUUGGCCUUGUGUGCAUGGCUUUGUCUGGCUUUCCUCUCCCACUCCUGGCUGUUUGCAGUCUCCCAUGGGAGAAGACAUCCUCCCAGAUCUGCUCCUCCCUGCAGCUUUUGCUCUGCUUUAACUCUUUCUUGGUUAGAGGCCAUGGUUCCUUGUUCACCAUGCAACUGUGUUCCUUACUGAGCAGGACCAAAAGACACCAGCCUGCAGAACAAAUAACUGAGUGAUAUAUUCACUUUUGGUAUUGAACAAACCUGCACAGGGUCUUUACAAGCUGCCUCUGCCCCAUCCUUGCUGGUUGCUCUCAAAGUGUUCGUUACCAAAGUUUUAUCAACCAGUAUUAAUAGGAGCAAAAAAAAAAAGCACACCUUUGUGCUGUCUUACAGAUGAACACAGAGCCAAGGAGCUCACAGCUCUCCAGCCCAUCUGAAUCCCUUUGGUACAGCAGCCCUCUUCCUCCUGUGCAAUCCCAGCCAUGGCAUUCUCCCUCCUCAGUGUCCUUUGAGAAGUGCUCAGGAUGCUGCAGAAUCCAGCCUGGUCCUUCUGCCAGCUGUUGCGUCAAGGAAAAAUAUUAAAGUCGUGGUUUGUCCCAGGAAAGAAAUGUCUGUUUUGUGGUACAAGCCCACGUCUGUUCCCUGCAAUGUCGUUCCUGUGUCCUGUCCAGACAGUUCUCAGCAUUGUGCAGGGGAGGGUCUGUGGUUUCUCCCUGCCUGUCCGAGGCAGGGGGGCCGGUGGGAUUUACUGGGAUUUACUGCCUGUGGAUGCGAAGCCACAGCCUCCGCCGCAGACCUGGGAAGAGACAGUGUCCAUCAGACCCAGGACCCUCCCAGGUCACCAUCCUGCUCCUGGGCUGUCCCAGGGCCUGGCACCCCUCAGGAUGCUGGCAGGAUACUCACGGUAGAGGCGGUGGGCAGUGGGGACCAGGCCCAGCAGGAGGAGCAGGACACCAGCGACCAGUGGGAUCCAGACCAGGGGACUGCAGGGACCUGGAGAGAGAAGAGGACUCCUGGCACCACCCUGCCCUGGCAGCUUUGCGGGAUGGAGUAUGGGGUGGGGAAGGGAGAAAAGCAAGGCAGGGACUCAAAGGGGCAGUGGAGGAUGUGACCAUCCCCCUGGGGUAUCCUUUGAAGGAUGCAUUACAGAAUCACAGGAUAAGUAAGGCUGGAAAGGACCACGGUGGGUUAUCUGGUCCAACCUCCCUGCUCAAGCAGGGUCACCCCAGAGCACAUGGCACGGGACUGUGUCCAGAUGGCCUUUGAAUAUUUUCAGUAAGGGAGACUCCACAGCCUCUCUGGUCAACCUGUUUCAGUGCUCAAUCACCCUCACAGUAUAAAAAGCAUUGCAGGGAGCUUAGCUCUUGAGGUCACAAUAACCUAAACUGAAAUACAUCCUGGCCCCUAAACCCGUGUACAUCCCAGGGAAUCCCUCCUACAGGCAGAAGUCAGUUCUGUCCAGAGCAGUGGGUCUAUCUGCCCCCAGACACCCACUCCUGCAGGGUGACAGUGUGGUUGUCCCCACCCCAGGACAAACUCCAACUGAGCCCUGGAGGCCCCAAGAGCCCAGCAAAACCCCUUUUUCCAGGCUGAGCCAGUGCCAUACCUUUCCUGCUGGCAGCUUUGCUUUUGGUUAUCCACGGCACAGGCUUUUUGGAGACUGGUGUCUGUGUGGUCUUUGGAGGCAGAGGCAAAGCAUCAACUGGGGAUAAGGAGAAAAAGAGGGUCGUCAGUGUGGCUCUGAGUGCAGCAGAGAUCUCCAACAGCAGGCAAGAAGGGCUGGAAAGUUUGGCCCUUAGAGCAAACCUCAUCCACUGAACCCUGCAAAGGGCUGUGUCACCCCGAGGGGUGGGAGCUUGACCUGAGCCUCUCGGUGGCCACAGAAGUUACCAAGAGCUUUCAAAAGUGUUAAUAAACCAAUUUACCAGGUAAAGAAGGGGAGAAGGCUAAGGCAGGGAAAAACCCCAAACUUGCUGGAGUGACAUUUGCUGCCAAGCAUCAUCUCAUCAGCAUUGCACAAAAUCAUGGCUAGCAAGAGAUUUCAGUAGCACUGGGAGGUUUUAAGGGAUCCCUGCAUCUUUUCCUUAUUCAGAUUGCUCUAAUCUUUGCUCAGCAUUUGAUUAUUGUUCUUUCUGAUAAAAUGAAGGCAGGAUUUAUUAUGGUGUUCUGAGUAACAGUGGAGGACAUUAAUUUCUCAGUAAAGUUGGCCAGGAAAAUAUCCCAGUAAUGUCAUUAAAUAUCUGCGUGUCUGACUGCUCAAACCACACUCAUUCAAAAUUUUAGGUGAUUCAAAACGACUUUUUAUUCUCUUUCUACCCAGAAUAUAACUUCCUAGAGAAAUUACCAUUCUUUUACAUGAAAAGAUGAGAUAUCAGGACCCUGGGAUUUAUCUGGACAACCUCUCCCUUACAUUAUAAUAGGCUUAAAGAAAAGAAACUUACAGGCAUUUUGUUUUAUCAUGAGAAUUAAAAGGAAAAAAAUAUCCAGCAAAGCCUGAGUCCUCCCAGAGCACCUGCUGCUGUUUACUUUUUAAUUGGUGUCCUUGAUCAAGCUGAAUUUCAAGCCUGUUUUUCACACUUUGCACAGAGAUAUGAGCCCAGUUGUUAAAAAACAGUUCUCCUUUAUCUUAAGCCAGCUUUUUUCUGAGCCUGAAAGAAUCCAAAAGGGAUUUCUCAUCCAGUUCAAGGUACAGAGUGUAUUUGCAAAAAAACCCAGGAAAACUGGGACACUGGGUCUGCUUUAGAGUCAGAAGCUGUAGCAGCAUUUUGGUUAAAUAAGUUAUUUGUAUUUUAGCUAAAUAAGUUAUUUGUCUCCCUAAAAGUCUGCAAAAAUAAAGGCUGAAUCCUA
Long non-coding RNA from Corvus hawaiiensis (hawaiian crow), 8266 nucleotides. RefSeq lists it as uncharacterized. The transcript has 2 exons. The record is from RefSeq and is a predicted model, not a curated record. Lineage: Eukaryota; Metazoa; Chordata; Aves; Passeriformes; Corvidae.